UGUGCAAGUGACGAUAAGAUAGACAGGGACAUCAGCACUCCUGUAGGAGGAUGAUGAUUUGUCGUUGGGAAUCUCUCUGAUGCACU
Molecule: small nucleolar RNA, 86 nt
Organism: Cucurbita pepo subsp. pepo (vegetable marrow)
Lineage: Eukaryota; Viridiplantae; Streptophyta; Magnoliopsida; Cucurbitales; Cucurbitaceae
Product: small nucleolar RNA R44/J54/Z268 family
Source: RefSeq, a predicted model, not a curated record